This 313-nucleotide long non-coding RNA is filed under the name Mustela putorius furo (domestic ferret). RNAcentral's name for it is "lncRNA (ENSMPUG00000031542.1)". Lineage: Eukaryota; Metazoa; Chordata; Mammalia; Carnivora; Mustelidae. The record is from RNAcentral.
CGAUGAACUCAACCAAGUACAUAUUCCUCUGCGGAACCCUUGGCAGGGCAGUGGAUGAGAGGAGAUGCUUUUGGCUCAUUCACAGAAAUGCCACACCCGAAAACUGGCACCAUGCCCUUCAUCCUAGAAGUCUGAAAGUCACAGAGAGCCCAGGGAAGCAAAGACCCCAGAGCAGGCGCGGCUCACCUCACUGUGUCUGCGGCUCCACACAUCUGAACGUCAGUGCCCAGGAUGGAGAGACAGGCCAGGCACGAAGCAGACCCUGGGGUGAGUCAAAGGACUAGCCAGGGGAAAUUGGGCUUUGCAAUGUAUU